GAUGAACGCUGGCGGCGUGCCUAAUACAUGCAAGUCGAGCGAACGGACGAGAAGCUUGUUUCUCUGAUGUUAGCGGCGGACGGGUGAGUAACACGUGGAUAACCUACCUAUAAGACUGGGAUAACUUCGGGAAACCGGAGCUAAUACCGGAUAAUAUCUUGAACCGCAUGGUUCAAAAGUGAAAGACGGUCUUGCUGUCACUUAUAGAUGGAUCCGCGCUGCAUUAGCUAGUUGGUAAGGUAACGGCUUACCAAGGCAACGAUGCAUAGCCGACCUGAGAGGGUGUUCGGCCACACUGGAACUGAGACACGGUCCAGACUCCUACGGGAGGCAGCGGUAGGGAAUCUUGCGCAAUGGGCGAAAGCCUGCCGGAGCAACGCCGCGUGGGUGAUGAAGGUCUUCGGAUCGUAAAACUCUGUUAUUAGGGAAGAACAUAUGUGUAAGUAACUGUGCACAACUUGACGGUACCUAAUCAGAAAGCCACGGCUAACUACGUG
Molecule: ribosomal RNA, 497 nt
Filed under: uncultured bacterium
Lineage: Bacteria
Description: partial 16S ribosomal RNA
Rfam family: Bacterial small subunit ribosomal RNA
Source: RNAcentral